Molecule: ribosomal RNA, 462 nt
Filed under: uncultured bacterium
Lineage: Bacteria
Description: partial 16S ribosomal RNA
Rfam family: Bacterial small subunit ribosomal RNA
Source: RNAcentral
GACGAACGCUGGCGGCGUGCUUAACACAUGCAAGUCGAACGGAAAGGCCCUUCGGGGUACUCGAGUGGCGAACGGGUGAGUAACACGUGGGUGAUCUGCCCUGCACUUUGGGAUAAGCCUGGGAAACUGGGUCUAAUACCGAAUAGGACCACGCGCUUCAUGGUGUGUGGUGGAAAGCUUUUGCGGUGUGGGAUGGGCCCGCGGCCUAUCAGCUUGUUGGUGGGGUAAUGGCCUACCAAGGCGACGACGGGUAGCCGGCCUGAGAGGGUGACCGGCCACACCGGGGCUGGGGUUCCGCCCCGGCUCCUUCGGGGGGGAGCAGGUGGGAAUAUUUCACCAUGGGCGCAAGCCUGGUGCAGCGGCCCCGCGUGGGGGAUGACCGCCUUCGGGGUGUAAACCUCUUUCACCAGGGACGAAGCGUAAGUGACGGUACCUGGAGAAGAAGCACCGGCCAACUACGUG